This 1468-nucleotide ribosomal RNA is filed under the name uncultured organism. Its description in RNAcentral is "16S ribosomal RNA". It matches the Rfam family "Bacterial small subunit ribosomal RNA". The record is from RNAcentral.
CGCUGGCGGCGUGCCUAAUACAUGCAAGUCGAGCGAACGGACGAGAAGCUUGCUUCUCUGAUGUUAGCGGCGGACGGGUGAGUAACACGUGGAUAACCUACCUAUAAGACUGGGAUAACUUCGGGAAACCGGAGCUAAUACCGGAUAAUAUUUUGAACCGCAUGGUUCAAAAGUGAAAGACGGUCUUGCUGUCACUUAUAGAUGGAUCCGCGCUGCAUUAGCUAGUUGGUAAGGUAACGGCUUACCAAGGCAACGAUGCAUAGCCGACCUGAGAGGGUGAUCGGCCACACUGGAACUGAGACACGGUCCAGACUCCUACGGGAGGCAGCAGUAGGGAAUCUUCCGCAAUGGGCGAAAGCCUGACGGAGCAACGCCGCGUGAGUGAUGAAGGUCUUCGGAUCGUAAAACUCUGUUAUUAGGGAAGAACAUAUGUGUAAGUAACUGUGCACAUCUUGACGGUACCUAAUCAGAAAGCCACGGCUAACUACGUGCCAGCAGCCGCGGUAAUACGUAGGUGGCAAGCGUUAUCCGGAAUUAUUGGGCGUAAAGCGCGCGUAGGCGGUUUUUUAAGUCUGAUGUGAAAGCCCACGGCUCAACCGUGGAGGGUCAUUGGAAACUGGAAAACUUGAGUGCAGAAGAGGAAAGUGGAAUUCCAUGUGUAGCGGUGAAAUGCGCAGAGAUAUGGAGGAACACCAGUGGCGAAGGCGACUUUCUGGUCUGUAACUGACGCUGAUGUGCGAAAGCGUGGGGAUCAAACAGGAUUAGAUACCCUGGUAGUCCACGCCGUAAACGAUGAGUGCUAAGUGUUAGGGGGUUUCCGCCCCUUAGUGCUGCAGCUAACGCAUUAAGCACUCCGCCUGGGGAGUACGACCGCAAGGUUGAAACUCAAAGGAAUUGACGGGGACCCGCACAAGCGGUGGAGCAUGUGGUUUAAUUCGAAGCAACGCGAAGAACCUUACCAAAUCUUGACAUCCUUUGACAACUCUAGAGAUAGAGCCUUCCCCUUCGGGGGACAAAGUGACAGGUGGUGCAUGGUUGUCGUCAGCUCGUGUCGUGAGAUGUUGGGUUAAGUCCCGCAACGAGCGCAACCCUUAAGCUUAGUUGCCAUCAUUAAGUUGGGCACUCUAAGUUGACUGCCGGUGACAAACCGGAGGAAGGUGGGGAUGACGUCAAAUCAUCAUGCCCCUUAUGAUUUGGGCUACACACGUGCUACAAUGGACAAUACAAAGGGCAGCGAAACCGCGAGGUCAAGCAAAUCCCAUAAAGUUGUUCUCAGUUCGGAUUGUAGUCUGCAACUCGACUACAUGAAGCUGGAAUCGCUAGUAAUCGUAGAUCAGCAUGCUACGGUGAAUACGUUCCCGGGUCUUGUACACACCGCCCGUCACACCACGAGAGUUUGUAACACCCGAAGCCGGUGGAGUAACCUUUUAGGAGCUAGCCGUCGAAGGUGGGACAAAUGAUUGGGGUG